CCGCCACUAGCUCAGCAGGAUAGAGCCGGUGAAGCCGUUGUCACAGGUGCGGGGUUCGAGGCCCCGGUGGCGGUCCA
RNAcentral lists this transfer RNA (77 nucleotides) under Serratia fonticola. RNAcentral describes it as "tRNA-Gly(gcc)". Lineage: Bacteria; Pseudomonadati; Pseudomonadota; Gammaproteobacteria; Enterobacterales; Yersiniaceae. The record is from RNAcentral. RNAcentral also lists the same sequence under 2 other names.